CAGAAAUCAAAACAAAGCAGAUUAAAAUUUGCUCCAUACAAAAUGCUUGUCAGACAUUAGACACCCUCUUAUAAUUUUCUCAAGACUCUGUGACACUGGAUGCUACCAUAGUCAAGCCUGAAACUAUUUGGAAACUAGUAGAUAUCAAGGUAUUAAGAAGGAGCAAAGAUGGAAAGCCUUGAAAGUUGAAACAGACAUUAAUACAAUAGAGCGAGAGAUGGCGGCUAGGUUUCUUUACUGGGGUGGAGUGGUGGAGGUGGUAGUGAUGCAGCAUCAGAGAGCUCAGACUUGGUCUUGGGCAUGCCCUUGAUACGGGCAAUAUAUUUGUUUGCUUUUUCACUGAGACUCGUCAGUUUCUUGGGCAGGUGCUUCCCCUCCUCACUGACUCUUUUCAUUGAUGGGGGUGACUCCUCCUUCACUUCACUUUCUUCAUCCUUCCAUUGGGGUUGCACUUCUUCUUUCUCUUUCUCUGUGGAAGAAAAGCAUGAGCAUAAACCUGUGCGGCACAUCUCUCUCUCUGCUGAUUCUCCCAUGUAGUCUACCAGGAGGCUUCUAAUAUAAUGCCAUGAGGAAACUGGUGGUCGCGUAAGAAGUAAGGGAAUGAAAAGCAAA
RNAcentral lists this long non-coding RNA (612 nucleotides) under Amborella trichopoda. Its description in RNAcentral is "long non-coding RNA (ATRI_LNC003354)". Lineage: Eukaryota; Viridiplantae; Streptophyta; Magnoliopsida; Amborellales; Amborellaceae. The record is from RNAcentral.